RNAcentral lists this ribosomal RNA (534 nucleotides) under uncultured Pseudomonadota bacterium. RNAcentral's name for it is "bacterial SSU rRNA". It matches the Rfam family "Bacterial small subunit ribosomal RNA", at positions 8 to 521 of the family's 1533-position model. The record is from RNAcentral. Lineage: Bacteria; Pseudomonadati; Pseudomonadota.
AGAGUUUGAUCCUGGCUCAGAUUGAACGCUGGCGGCAGGCCUAACACAUGCAAGUCGAGCGGUAACAGGAGAAAGCUUGCUUUCUUUGCUGACGAGCGGCGGACGGGUGAGUAAUGUAUGGGGAUCUUGCCCGAUAGAGGGGGAUAACUACUGGAAACGGUGGCUAAUACCGCAUAAUGUCUACGGACCAAAGCAGGGGCUCUUCGGACCUUGCACUAUCGGAUGAACCCAUAUGGGAUUAGCUAGUAGGUGGGGUAAAGGCUCACCUAGGCGACGAUCUCUAGCUGGUCUGAGAGGAUGAUCAGCCACACUGGGACUGAGACACGGCCCAGACUCCUACGGGAGGCAGCAGUGGGGAAUAUUGCACAAUGGGCGCAAGGCUCUGAUGCAGCCAUGCUGCGUGUAUGAAGAAGCCUUAGGGUUGUAAAGUUAUUUUCAGCGGGGGAGGAAGGUGAUAAGGUUAAUACCCUUGUCAAUUGACGUUUACCCCGCAGAAGAAGCACCGGCUUAACUCUGUGCCAGCAGAGCCGCGGU